RNAcentral lists this ribosomal RNA (497 nucleotides) under uncultured bacterium. RNAcentral describes it as "partial 16S ribosomal RNA". It matches the Rfam family "Bacterial small subunit ribosomal RNA", at positions 28 to 507 of the family's 1533-position model. The record is from RNAcentral.
GACGAACGCUGGCGGCGUGCUUAACACAUGCAAGUCGAACGGUCAGGCGCCUUCCUUUUUGGUGGGUGUGGAUGAGUGGCGAACGGGUGAGUAACACGUGAGUAACCUGCCCCCUCCUUCUGGAUAACCGCAUGCAAGUGCGGCUACUACGGGAUAUUCUGGGUCUGUUGGAUGAUGGGUCUGGGAAGGAUUUUGUUUCGGUGGGGGAUGGGUCCGCGGCGCAUUAGCUUGUUGGUGGGGUGAUGGCUUACCAAGGCGACGAUGGGUAGCCGGCCUGAGAGGGUGGUGGGCGACCACGGAAGGACGGAGAGGCGGCCAAGACUCCGGGGGGAGGCAGCAGGGAGUAAUAUGGCACAGGGGGAGGAAGCCUGGAGCAGCGACGCGGCGGUGGUGAUGGUCGUCGGCGGGUAGUGAACCGCUUUCGCGAGAGAAGCAGUCUUGAAGCGUUUGUGGGUGGGUUGACGGUAGCUAAAUAAGAAGCGCCGGCUAACUACGUG